GCUCUGCUUAGCUAUCUGGCAGGAACUCAUUUCACAGAGAUUCAGCAACAGUCUGCAGCCUGUAAAUGAUUUUUCUGCUGCCAUUCAGCCACCUUGCAACUUAAUGAAGGCAAGGAGGAAAAGUCUCUAUGCACCCUUAGUCACCUCGUUUCCUUUUUGGACCCUUCAAGCAGCUCUGUCUCUGCAGAAGGAAAAAGGGGGAUUAUAGCAAUUGCAAAACUUCCUGCUGCAACUUAUAUUCAUUAACAUCCUUCCGAUGAUAACUGUCCCAAGUCAGGGUGGUGCCAAAAUCUGUGUGCAGAACCACGGCGAGGGGCUGGGGCUGUCGGCUGAGGUACUGCAGAACUCCUGGCAGCCAAAGCACAUUUGAACUAAUUUUAGAAACUGCAAGUGUGUGAAAUGAAAUGCAAACAAAAUAUGGGAAAAAAGUGAGUCAGUGUCUCAUGCAGUAGUGGCCUAGAUUGAGUGCAUAAACUGUGAAAGUAGAAGUGGGUUGCAGUUGAACUUGGCUUGUGCUAAUCCAGUUUUGAACGGUUUCCGCUCUUGGCAUUCCCUGUGCUGUUCUGUUCAAAGUGGAGAUUUGCAAGCAGCUCUAGCAAUUUCCUGUCCAGCUGCAGCUCAAGUGACUCCCUUGUUUGGUUUUUUUGGUAGGGUUUGUUGUUGUUGUUUUUUUAAUAUGGUCUGUGGAUAAUUUUAGCCAGUUUCCUCUUUGUGGAUUAUUAAUCUGCUUUCCUUGUAGAACCUACAUAGCUGUGUCCCUACUGUUCUGCUGAAGUUAACAGAUGGCCUCCCCGCCACUUCCUCUCGUUUUGCUAUGGGUUUGUUGUCAGGCCACUUCUGAAAUUAAUAGUGUUUUCUGGCCGGCUGCCACAGGCCAUUACCACAAAGGGGAAGUAACACAUCUGAAUAGCAGGAAGCCGGGCAGGGUCACAGCGUGAACUGAACCUGUUGAGCGCAAUCAGGCCUCUCCCGUUUGGCAAGUGUAAGGCUCCUCUUCCCUCCCCCCUUUUCAUGCGCCUCGCACAGAGAAAGGGCUGACACCAAAUGCCUCAGCUGUUUGCACCGGGCAAAUAUUUCCGGCUGAAGGAGCUGCGAAUGUUGGUUGUGACUAGGUGCCCCUUAAGGAAACAAGCCUGCAAGAUCCCCAAACCAGCCUGCCAGCAGUCCAAAAGGGUAACAUCCAUGUGCACAUCUACUAGUUCCUCACAAAAGGCAUGAAUCUCAUUGGCGUUUACAUGCAGGAACCCCUGGUAGCCUCAGAUGAAGUUUUCUAGGAUGAAAGUGAAGGUUUAUUCAAUGGCUGAAAUGCUAUUCAAGGACUUGGAAGAUCUCGUUUGUCAUCUCUUCACAGUAUUUCUGUAUUUUUUUUUCAGUAACUCAUGUAGUCUUUGGCUAAAACAAAGGCAACAGUACUUCACACAACACUGUGAAUAGCACAUGACAUAAAGGUCAGCAAAAGAGAAGACAGCUAAUGAAUGUAAACUGUAAAAAAAUUACUUCUAGUAUCUGAAUCCUAAAAACCUGUGAGAUUUUUUGCUUUUACAGGUAAACCACACAGAAUCCCAGCAAAACUAUGGAUCUGAACAGAAGUAUUGGUGAUACCAAGAAGAGUUUAUUGGAAAAACACUAUUAUUACUACA
Molecule: long non-coding RNA, 1640 nt
Organism: Prinia subflava (tawny-flanked prinia)
Lineage: Eukaryota; Metazoa; Chordata; Aves; Passeriformes; Cisticolidae
Exons: 3
Source: RefSeq, a predicted model, not a curated record